Infundibulicybe gibba is the source of this 80-nucleotide non-coding RNA. The record is from the annotation of a GenBank genome assembly. Lineage: Eukaryota; Fungi; Basidiomycota; Agaricomycetes; Agaricales; Omphalinaceae.
GGGCUCUUGGCACAGGGGUAGCGCGCACGCUUCGCAUCAAUGCUUGCGUGAGGUCGUGGGUUCAAUUCCCACAGUGUCCA